RNAcentral lists this small RNA (89 nucleotides) under Salmonella enterica. Its description in RNAcentral is "partial RtT sRNA". It matches the Rfam family "RtT RNA", at positions 42 to 130 of the family's 130-position model. Rfam says of the family: This family represents a bacterial cis-regulatory element known as RtT RNA. The exact function of RtT is unknown although it is thought that it may be involved in changing the cellular response in relation to amino acid starvation. Lineage: Bacteria; Pseudomonadati; Pseudomonadota; Gammaproteobacteria; Enterobacterales; Enterobacteriaceae. The record is from RNAcentral.
UUCGACCCGAGCGAAGCGAGAAAACGUUGCGUCAGCAACGGCCCGCAGGGCGAGCCACGCAGUGGCGAGUCAUCCUCUAUCACCGACCA